This 253-nucleotide ribosomal RNA is filed under the name uncultured bacterium. RNAcentral describes it as "partial 16S ribosomal RNA". It matches the Rfam family "Bacterial small subunit ribosomal RNA", at positions 524 to 776 of the family's 1533-position model. The record is from RNAcentral.
UACGAAGGGUGCAAGCGUUACUCGGAAUUACUGGGCGUAAAGCGUGCGUAGGCGGUUUGUUAAGUCCGCUGUGAAAGCCCUGGGCUCAACCUGGGAAUGGCAGUGGAUACUGGAAAGCUAGAGUGCGGUAGAGGGUAGUGGAAUUCCCGGUGUAGCAGUGAAAUGCGUAGAGAUCGGGAGGAACACCAGUGGCGAAGGCGGCUACCUGGACCAGCACUGACACUGAGGCACGAAAGCGUGGGGAGCAAACAGG